RNAcentral lists this ribosomal RNA (301 nucleotides) under uncultured bacterium. Its description in RNAcentral is "partial 16S ribosomal RNA". It matches the Rfam family "Bacterial small subunit ribosomal RNA", at positions 509 to 809 of the family's 1533-position model. The record is from RNAcentral.
CAGCAGCCGCGGUAAUACGUAGGGUGCAAGCGUUAAUCGGAAUUACUGGGCGUAAAGCGCACGCAGGCGGUUUGUUAAGUCAGAUGUGAAAUCCCCGAGCUUAACUUGGGAACUGCAUUUGAAACUGGCAAGCUAGAGUCUUGUAGAGGGGGGUAGAAUUCCAGGUGUAGCGGUGAAAUGCGUAGAGAUCUGGAGGAAUACCGGUGGCGAAGGCGGCCCCCUGGACAAAGACUGACGCUCAGGUGCGAAAGCGUGGGGAGCAAACAGGAUUAGAUACCCCAGUAGUCCCUGUCUCUUAUAA